Molecule: ribosomal RNA, 253 nt
Filed under: uncultured bacterium
Lineage: Bacteria
Description: partial 16S ribosomal RNA
Rfam family: Bacterial small subunit ribosomal RNA
Source: RNAcentral
UACAGAGGGGGCAAGCGUUGUUCGGAAUUACUGGGCGUAAAGGGCGCGUAGGCGGCCUGUUAAGUCGGACGUGAAAUCCCUCGGCUCAACCGGGGAACUGCGUCCGAUACUGGCGGGCUUGAAUUCGGGAGAGGGAUGUGGAAUUCCAGGUGUAGCGGUGAAAUGCGUAGAUAUCUGGAGGAACACCGGUGGCGAAGGCGGCUUUCUGGACAGUAACUGACGCUGAGGCGCGAAAGCUAGGGGAGCAAACAGG